GCAUGUUCACAUGAUUAAAGGUAUUCCGGUAGACGAUGGGGAUGCGUUCCAUUAAAUAGUAGGCGGGGUAACGGCCCACCUAGUCUUCGAUGGAUAGGGGUUCCGAGAGGAAGGUCCCCCACAUUGGAACUGAGACACGGUCCAAACUCCUACGGGAGGCAGCAGUGAGGAAUAUUGGUCAAUGGGCGAGAGCCUGAACCAGCCAAGUAGCGUGAAGGAUGACUGCCCUAUGGGUUGUAAACUUCUUUUAUAAAGGAAUAAAGUCGGGUAUGCAUACCUGUUUGCAUGUACUUUAUGAAUAAGGAUCGGCUAACUCCGUGCCAGCAGCCGCGGUAAUACGGAGGAUCCGAGCGUUAUCCGGAUUUAUUGGGUUUAAAGGGAGCGUAGAUGGAUGUUUAAGUCAGUUGUGAAAGUUUGCGGCUCAACCGUAAAAUUGCAGUUGAUACUGGAUAUCUUGAGUGCAGUUGAGGCAGGCGGAACUCGUGGUGUAGCGGUGAAAUGCUUAGAUAUCACGAAGAACUCCGAUUGCGAAGGCAGCCUGCUAAGCUGCAACUGACAUUGAGGCUCGAAAGUGUGGGUAUCAAACAGGAUUAGAUACCCUGGUAGUCCACACGGUAAACGAUGAAUACUCGCUGUUUGCGAUAUACAGCAAGCGGCC
Molecule: ribosomal RNA, 658 nt
Filed under: uncultured bacterium
Lineage: Bacteria
Description: bacterial SSU rRNA
Rfam family: Bacterial small subunit ribosomal RNA
Source: RNAcentral